UACGUAGGUGGCAAGCGUUGUCCGGAAUUAUUGGGCGUAAAGCGCGCGCAGGCGGCCUUUUAAGUCUGAUGUGAAAGCCCACGGCUUAACCGUGGAAGGUCAUUGGAAACUGGAAGGCUUGAGUACAGAAGAGGAAAGCGGAAUUCCACGUGUAGCGGUGAAAUGCGUAGAGAUGUGGAGGAACACCAGUGGCGAAGGCGGCUUUCUGGUCUGUAACUGACGCUGAGGCGCGAAAGCAUGGGGAGCAAACAGG
This 253-nucleotide ribosomal RNA is filed under the name uncultured bacterium. RNAcentral describes it as "partial 16S ribosomal RNA". It matches the Rfam family "Bacterial small subunit ribosomal RNA", at positions 524 to 776 of the family's 1533-position model. The record is from RNAcentral.